CGGCUGGGUUCAAACCCAUGCAGGCGCCGAGCGUUCUUGUUUUUUGAGGGCGGAGCUGAUGGCGGGGAAGUGUUGUUAGCGCGCGCCUUCCGGAUCCCAGCGCUCCCGGCCGUACUCUUCGACUUAGGGGUGUUGCUUGGCCGCCGCCUGGUAGUCUGGCGGUUCAUUUCUUGCUCGGCCUCCUGGAGUUGUGCUCCGUGUGGGCUUCCACCUCAGACCCCUGCGCUGGCUCAGCGGGGCCGGAACAUGGCUGCGUCGGGUCUGGAUCAUCUCAAAAAUGGCUACAGAAGAAGAUUUUGUCGACCUUCCAGGGCACGUGACAUUAACACACAGCAAGGCCAGAAUGUUCUGGAAAUCUUACAAGACUGUUUUGAAGAACAAAGUCUUGCCAAUGAUUUUAGUACAAAUUCUACAAAAUCAGUGCUUUAUUCCACACACAAAAUAAAAGACACUUGUAUUCAGUCACGAAGCAAAGAGUGCCAGAAAUCACAUCCAAAGUCAGUUCCAGUUUCUUCAAGGAAGAAAGAAGCCUCUCUGCAGUUUGUUGUAGAACCAAGUGAAGCCACCAACAGAUCAGUUCAGGCCCAUGAAGUUCGUCAGAAAAUUCUGGCAACUGAUGUUAGUUCCAAAAAUACAUCUGGCUCGAAAAAGAUGUCAAGUAGAAACAUAAAUGAUUAUCACAGUGAUGCUGGUGAAGAAUUUUACUUAUCUGUUGGCUCACCUUCUGUUCUUUUGGAUGCAAAAACAUCUGUAUCGCAAAAUGUUAUUCCAUCUAGUGCCCAAAAGAGAGAGACUUACACUUUUGAAAAUUCAGUAAAUACGCUGCCUUCAAGUACAGAGGUUUCACUUAAAACCAAAAAAAGGUUAAACUUUGAAGAUAAAGUUAUGUUAAAAAAAAUAGAAAUAGAUAAUAAAGUAUCAGAUGAAGAGUAUAAAACAUCAGAAGGACAAGAAAGAAAACCAUCAGGAUCAUCUCAGAAUAUAACACGAGAUUCAGAAUAUGAAAUUCAACGAAAAGCUAAAAAAAGUUUUUCAACAUUGUUUUUAGAAACAGUAAAACGAAAAAGUAAAUCCAGUCCCGUUGUUAGGCAUGCGGCAACUGCUCCACCUCAUUCGUGUCCUCCCGAUGAUAAGAAGGUGAUAGAGGAUGAAUUUAUAAUUGAUGAGUCAGAUCAAAGUUUUGCCAGUAGAUCUUGGAUUACAAUACCAAGAAAGGCAGGGCCUCUGAAACAACGCCCAAUAUCUCCGGCUGAGAGCACUGCACUGCUUCAAAAUGGAAAGUCAAGAGAAAAGCAUCAUAAUAUAUUACCUAAGACUUUGGCAAAUGGCAAACAUUCUCAUGAACCUCACCCAGUAGAACCAUCUCAGUCCUCUGAUAAAACAGUACUGGAUACAAGUUAUGCUUUGACAGGUGAAACGGAAAAUGAUUGUAAAUCUGCAAAAUAUGAAAUGUGUUCCAAGGAUGCAGAAAAAUCAUCUGGAAGCAAAAGGACUAUAAAACAAAAACAGAGAAGAAAAUUUAAGGCUAAACCAGCUGAAGAACAGCUUGAUGUGGGACAGUCUAAAGAUGAAAACAUACGUAUGUCACAUACUACCCAAGACAAAUUUCAAAGAAAUUCAGACAGAAAUAUAGAAGAGCGUGAAGAGAUAGGAAAUGAUUGUGUUUCCAAAAAACAGAUGUCACCUGUGGGAAACAAGAAAAGUAGCGCUAGAAAAGAUAAGGGAGAAGCUAAAAAGAAGCACUUUUCCAAUGAGUCCAAGAACAAACUUGUGCCUGAAGAAGUGAUUUCAACUGUCACGAGAAGUCGAAGAAUUUCCAGACGUCCAUCUGAUUGGUGGGUGGUAAAAUCAGAGGAGAGUUCUGUUUAUAGCAAUUCUUCAAUAAGAAAUGAAUUACCAGUGCAUCGCAACAGUAGACAAAAAUCUGCUAAGAAAACAAAUCAGUCAUCUAAGAAUAUUGGAGAAAAAACGUUUCCACUUAAAAGGCAGAAGAUAGCAACUAAAGGCAACCAAAGAGUACAGAAGUUUUUAAAUGCUAAAGGUUCUGGAGGUACCGUUGGUCAUGAUGAAAUUUCCAGUUGUUUGCUGAGUGAGCCAUUGGAAAGUGAUGAGGAAGACUUGGCUAAAAAGAAAAAUCUUGAUUGUUCUAGAUCUACAAGAAGCUCAAAAAAGGAAGAUAAUGUUAUGACUGCACAGCAUGUUCCCCUAAAGCCUCAGACCAGUGGAUAUACAUAUAACACACCAACAGAAUCAAGCUUGGAUUCUGGAGAGCGUAAGACUUUAGUUUUAGAGGAAAGUGGACCUUCCAGGCUCAAUAGUAAUUAUUUAACGUCUGGAAAGAAUAAUAACGAUGUGGAUGAGGAGGAAGUUCAUGGAAGUUCAGAUGACUCAAAACGAUCUAAAGUGAUACCAAAGAACAGAAUCCAUCACAAACUAGUAUUGCCCUCCAACACACCAAAUGUUCGCAGGACCAAGAGAACACGUUUGAAACCUUUGGAGUACUGGCGAGGAGAGCGAAUAGAUUAUCAAGGAAGGCCAUCAGGAGGAUUCGUGAUUGGUGGGAUACUGUCUCCAGACACAAUGUCGUCUAAAAGGAAGGCAAAAGAAAAUAUUGGAAAAGUCGACAAAAAGUCUAAUAAGAAAAGGAUCUGUCUUGAUAAUGAUGAAAGAAGUAUGAACUUAUUUCUGAAAGUAACUUUUAGAUUUUAUUUUAAAUAGGAGUACUUUGAGAAGAAGCUGUUUGCAAAAUAUGAAAUUUACUUCCAAAAACUUCAGAAAUAAUACCAUAGAGACUAGCUUAAUGGUAAAUCUAGGUAUACCUCUUGGAGAUCCUUUGCAGCCAACGAGGGUAAAGGACCCAGAAACAAGAGAGAUUAUUCUCAUGGAUCUUGUAAGGCCACAAGAUACAUAUCAAUUUUUUGUUAAACAUGGUGAGUUGAAGGUAUAUAAGACAUUGGACACACCCUUUUUUUCUACUGGGAAAUUGAUAUUAGGACCACAAGAGGAAAAGGGAAAGCAGCAUGUUGGCCAAGAUAUAUUGGUUUUUUAUGUUAACUUUGGUGACCUUUUGUGUACUUUACACGAAACACCUUAUAUAAUAAGUACUGGGGAUUCGUUCUAUGUUCCUUCAGGUAACUAUUAUAACAUCAAAAAUCUCCUGAAUGAGGAAAGUGUUCUUCUUUUUACUCAGAUAAAAAGAUGAAAGAUCAACCAAGCUUAAAUAUGUGUGUAUAUAUGUAUAUGUGAAAAACAGUUUGUAUAGUUGGGACAUUUGUCUUUGUAAUUACUUGUGAUGUUUUAAAAUAAAAAUUUUAUUCAUUUUUGUGUAGACUUGUAUUUGAUAAACAUUUCUAACUCCCAUGUUUUUUCCGAUUUUUCAGUGACUAUACAUAAUAGCUUGUAGCGAUGCCCAUAUUUAUGAUAUUAUUUUUAUAAUUUGACAAGAAUACGAAAAUGAAAUAUAGAACAUUUCUGUGUCAAAAGAGACCGAUUAAUAUAUCUAUUCAUUAAAAAACACCUUUUCCAAAUAUGAAUUUUAAAUCAUUAAUUAUUAAAUAAUCCAAUGGGAGAAAACUGUGGUAAAUGGCAUAUUUGUGUUAAUUUCCUAAAACUGCUAUAACAAAAUACCACAAAAUGAGUGACUUAAAGCAACAGAAAUUUAUUAUCUCAGUUCUAGAGGCUAGAAGCCUGAAAUCAAGCUGUUAUCAGGGCUGUGAUGUGUUCGAAAACCUGUAAAGGAGAAUCCUUCCUUAUUCCUAACUUCUGGUGGUUUACUGGCAAUUUCUGGCAUUCCUUGACUUGCACUGGUAGGUAGCAUUUCAGUCUACUUGCAUUAUCACAUGGUAUUCUCACCUUCUGUGUCUGUGUUCGCAUGACAUCUCUUUAGUAUAUUACAUGUAAAUGUUUUUCCAUCAUGCUUUUUGGUUCAUAUUUUCGUUGGAGGCAGUGUCUUUUGCCAUUGCUUUCUGUAUGUGGCCUCAACUUUCCCUCAAUAAAUAAAUCUAAGCUAAAAAUUUUAUUCAAUAUUUUUGGUAUGGUUAGCAUGUAAUUAUCAUUAACUCUGGUUAAUUAGAAAAUUAGAAAAAUCAUAAAAACAAGUUUUUUUUGGUUUUUGGUGUGGUUUUUGGUAUGGUUAGCAUAUAAUUAUCAUUAACUCUGAAGAAAUUGAUGUUUCACAGUAAAUUAUUUUUAGGUCAACUCCCUUUUCAGGUCUUACAUAUUAAAUAGACACAUUCAAAGCAACUCUGGUGUAGGACUUAGGAAGAAUGAAGUGUGAUGGCUUUUUUUUUAUACUUUAUAAUUUUCUAUUGUGAUUUUUAUUGAAUCUUUUUUUUUUUUUACCUUUAUUUCUUUGAAUAUAUUUGUUAUGAAGUCUUAUUGAAGGCUUGACUAAUCAAGUAUCUGGGCUCAUACAGAUUUAGUUUUCACUGAAUGCUUUUUUUCCUUUAGUAUAUUUCACUUUCCUAUGUUUUUACAUGUCUAAUAAUUUUUGGUUGACAGCUGGACAUUUUAGGUAGCAUAUUGUAGCAACUCAAUUUUGUCUUAUAUCUAAGGGAUUUGUAUUUUAAAUUUAGCAUUUUGACUGGACUCAAACUGUGGAAUCUAUCUUAUAUAUGAUGUGAAGUUCUGGCUGUCUGUGCUCUGUUUUUAAAUUCUUUAUUUCAAUAUUUAUUCUUGCUUGCUAGGGGUAGUUCCUGUGUCUGCAUAGCUUAGAAGUCAGCCAAUCAUUUGGACAAAGGUUAAGAUCAAACACUUGAGUCUAUAAGCCUUCCAUCCACUGUUGGUUGUUCUGUGUGGGAUGGGGGCUGCAUUCAGUGUAGCAGGCAGUUCCCAAAUCCCCCUUGGUUUUUACAUUUGCCAUGCUCUCUUGAGUCUCCUCUGUGCAUGCAUCAUUUCAGUUUGCCAAAGAUGUUUGGAGAGGUCAUGUUACUCUUCUCUACCCUUCUGUUUCCAGGACCUUGUUAAAUUUCUGGCUGCUCUGUUGCUCUUCAAGAACUAGGACUGUAACCUUUGGUUAAUAACUAAAAAUAUUCCUUGUCCAUUCCUAAGUGAUUUUUUUACUUUUGACUUACAGAGUUGUAGGUUUAUACCUCUGCUGUAAAUCAAGACUCCUCUUACAGCAAAGUUGCUAGUUUUCAGUUAACUACAGCCAGACAAAACUGUAGUUUUUACUGAUCAACCUAGGGGUGGGUGAGACCUCACUCAAGAAGGCCACAGAUUCCAACAGUUCUUUUCCAAAGCUUUAGCAAUUUUUUUUUUCUUUCUUGUCUUGUUUUUUUCCUUCUUUCUUUAUUUUUUUUCUGGAGGCAGAGUUUCACUCUUGUUGCCCAGGCUGGAGUGCAAUGGCAUGAUCUCGGCUCACUGCAGCCUCCGCCUCCUGGGUUCAAGCAAUCCUCCUGCAUCAGUCUCCUGAGUAACUGGGAUUACAGGUGCUCGCCACCAUGCCCGGCUAAUUUUUGGAUUUUUAGUAGAGACGAAUUUUCACCAUGUUAGCCAGGCUGGUCUCAAAUUCCUGACCUCUGGGUGAUCCACCCACCUCGGCCUCCCAAAGUGUUGGGAUUACAGCUGUGAGCCACUGUGCCCAGCUUAAGUAUAUCCUUUCUGUGUCUAAACUGAAAGCCCAUAUGGUUCAGCAAAAGCUCUCCAGUCUGCUUGGUCAGAGCCACAUCUGAAUUUUGCCACCUCUGUACUCUGUUCAGCUCAUAGACUUCUGUCAUGUCUCAGAAUUUUGCUCUGCACAUUUGCAGCCUGCUGUUCAGCCAACUUCUAGGGCUAUAAUGGUUGAUACAGUAGUCACAAGUUGUAGCUAUUUAAAUUUAAAAUGUUGUUUCUUACUUGCAUUUGCCACAUUUCAAGUGCUUAGUAGCACAUGGUAGUGGUGACUACCACAUUAGAUGUCACAGAUAUAAUUAUUAUGCAAUUAACCCACAGAUAUAAGUUGCAGAAAGUUCUGUUGUUCUUGGGCACCUCAUGCAGAUUUCUGGAGCUCUUUUUCAGUUUCUACUUCUGUACCCUGCAUCACAAUUCAGUCUUCUCAAUAGUCCUAAAUUGUGAUCUUUCUCUGCUCAUUAAGACCACUGUUCUUUUUGAACGCAACUCUGUGUGUCCAGUUUUGCAGAGUGCCCCCAGGCAUAAAAUUGGGUGACUAUGGAGUUAAUCUCUUGUCUUGAAAGAAUCACAGUCCUGGUGGGGUGUGGUGGCUCACACCUGUAAUCCUAGCACUUUGGGAGACCGAGGCGGGUGGAUCACCUGAGGUCAGGAGUUCAAGACCAGCCUGGCCAACACGAUGAAACCCUAUGUCUACUAAAAUACAAACGUUAGCCGGGCAUGAUGGCAGGUGCCUGUAAUCCGAGCUACUCGGAAGCUGAGAUGGGAGAAUUGCUUAAACCUGGGAGAUGGUUGCAGUGAGCCAAAAUCACGCAUCUGCACUCCAGGCUGGGCAGCUGAGCAAGACACUGAUUCAAAAAAAAGAAAAAAAAGAAUUUCUGUCCAAUGUCUGCAUAGAAUUACCUUUUAUCUUUUUCUAUUUUAAAGUUUGUUGGAGGAGGACAAAUUCGACCCCCAUUAAUCCAUCGUGGGCAUCACCCACGAGAGAGGGUUUUUUUUAAUGAUUUUUCUAAUUUUUAUUGUUGGGUAGGAUUCCACAGUUUGUUGUCCAUUUACUUACCACAUGGAUGCAUGUGUCUUUAAUUUCUUCCAGUGGUUGCUUACAUCUAUGUAACUACAAUUCUGAAAAAGAAAUUGGCAAGGAUACAAUGCAUGUGUAUAGUUCUGUUUCAUUAUGUGUGAAUUUGUGUAACUACUGCAAUCAACAUAGAACUGUUUCAUCACUAAUUUGUUCUUCAUUUCUGUAAUAUUGUCACUUACAUAUUGUUGUAGCAAUGGAAUAAUAUAGUGUAUGACCUUUGGUUUUUCUCACUCAGCAUGAAGCCCUUAAGAUCAUCCAAGCAGUUGUACCUAACAAUAGCUCAUUUCUUUUUAUUGCUAAGUGAUAUUCUCUAGUAUGGAUAACUGUACCACAAAUAAAGAUGAAGUGAACACUUCC
Non-coding RNA from Macaca mulatta (Rhesus monkey), 7045 nucleotides. NCBI's taxonomy places the organism in Eukaryota, Metazoa, Chordata, Mammalia, Primates, Cercopithecidae. The record is from RefSeq and is a predicted model, not a curated record.